RNAcentral lists this non-coding RNA (48 nucleotides) under Schistosoma mansoni. The record is from RNAcentral. Lineage: Eukaryota; Metazoa; Platyhelminthes; Trematoda; Strigeidida; Schistosomatidae.
AUCCAGCUGAUGAGUCCCAAAUUGGACGAAAUGAGCGUCAAACUGGAU